CCUACGGGAGGCAGCAGUGAGGAAUAUUGGUCAAUGGACGAGAGUCUGAACCAGCCAAGUAGCGUGAAGGAUGACUGCCCUAUGGGUUGUAAACUUCUUUUAUAUGGGAAUAAAAUGUUCCACGUGUGGGAUUUUGUAUGUACCAUCUGAAUAAGGAUCGGCUAACUCCGUGCCAGCAGCCGCGGUAAUACGGAGGAUCCGAGCGUUAUCCGGAUUUAUUGGGUUUAAAGGGAGCGUAGGUGGAUUGUUAAGUCAGUUGUGAAAGUUUGGGGCUCAACCGUAAAAUUGCAGUUGAAACUGGCAGUCUGGAGUACAGUAGAGGUGAGCGGAAUUCGUGGUGUAGCGGUGAAAUGCUUAGAUAUCACGAAGAACUCCGAUUGCGAAGGCAGCUCACUGGACUGCAACUGACACUGAGGCUCGAAAGUGUGGGUAUCAAACAGGAUUAGAUACCCCUGUAGUC
This 460-nucleotide ribosomal RNA is filed under the name uncultured bacterium. RNAcentral describes it as "partial 16S ribosomal RNA". It matches the Rfam family "Bacterial small subunit ribosomal RNA", at positions 338 to 795 of the family's 1533-position model. The record is from RNAcentral.